CCUACGGGAGGCAGCAGUGAGGAAUAUUGGUCAAUGGGCGGAAGCCUGAACCAGCCAAGUAGCGUGCAGGAUGACGGCCCUACGGGUUGUAAACUGCUUUUAUACGGGAGUAACGCGCCUUACGUAUAGGGCUUUGCAUUUACCGUAUGAAUAAGGACCGGCUAAUUCAGUGCCAGCAGCCGCGGUAAUACGGAAGGUCCGGGCGUUACCCGGAUGUGUUGGGUUUAAAGGGAGCGUAGGCCGUAUGUCAAGCGUGCUGUGAAAUGUCCGGGCUGAACCCGGGCCUUGCCGCGGGAACUGGCGUACUUGAGUCCGUGGAAGGCAGGCGGAAUUCGUGGUGUAGCGGUGAAAUGCUUAGAUA
Molecule: ribosomal RNA, 361 nt
Filed under: uncultured bacterium
Lineage: Bacteria
Description: partial 16S ribosomal RNA
Rfam family: Bacterial small subunit ribosomal RNA
Source: RNAcentral